UCCCCGCCGGAAGAAUAGGGAAGUCGGGUGCGAAUCCCGCGCGGUCACGCCGCUGUAUUGGACGAGCAGAGUCUGUUUUACAUCACUGUGAAAAUGGGAAGAUGAGAUUCUGUGAGGAAGCCUGAGCCAGAAGACCUGCCUGAGAGUAU
Molecule: non-coding RNA, 149 nt
Filed under: human gut metagenome
Source: RNAcentral